UGAACUGGGGAGGACAGAGGGAGGGUCAGGCUCACACCCGAGCUUGGUGCAGGUCGCAGGGAAACGCUCUUGAGCCUGACCAUCUAUUUUGGUAACCUUCCUCGUCUCUGUCUUCAAAGAAUACUUUUUAGGGAAAUAGAUAUAUGUCUAUCUUACUUAACUAUAAAUCCAGAUAAUCUAUCUGGACAGAUGACCACAAGAACCCCUAUCUAAUGGGGUUCAGACUACACUACCCCAAAAUAGGGCACCUUGGCACACUGAAUAUUUUAAGGAAAAAACAUUCCUUCCCAAAGGAAUUUGAGAAAUGACAGCUGCAGGAGGGACCGUCUGACCUCUCCCCACCCCUGAAGUGGGUCACAGGACCCUCCUGUGAGAGGCCCCCUCGUCUCCAAAGACAGAGGGAGCCGGGAGUAGGCUGAGCACACACAGGCCCUGCCGUGGUUCCCACCCACCACCCUCAGCUCACUCCCCUUGCACGCUUCCCCACGGCCUCCACGUCCUCAGUCCAGCCUCGCAUAGAAAGCGCUCAGGCCUCACUGUCUCUUCAGGUCUCCACUGCCUUAGGAAGGCUUCCAUAUCAAAUGGACUUAUUCAGUAAAUCUGUGUAAUUUUCUUUUGUUAAGCUUUUUGUCUAAUUUACAGGGCUCCAGCUAAAGAAUGGAGGCGGCUAGGGGAAAAGGGUAUAUUGUUUCCCUCCCCUGCUGUUUUCUUGGUUGUGAGCUUUGACCAUUAGCAGGAACACAUUUGAAAGUAAAAGUUGAGAGAAAAAUUUGAAUUUUGCAGGAUCAGCUCUGUCCCACGGAAACGUACUGUGAGCUACAUAUGUAAUUUUAAAAUUUCUGGCAGUCACAUUAAGUUUUUUAAAAGGCGAAAUUAAUUUUAAUAUUGUAUUUGACCCAACAUAUCCAAAAUAUUAUCACUUCAACGUUCAUUAAUUGAAUACAGUAUUUUGGUUUUCUGGUAUUUUUGUUUGGUUUGGUGGAGACAGCAUCUUGCUCUGUCACCCAGAAUGGAGUGCGUGGGGCCAUCAGUGCUUCCUCACCAUCGGCCUCCCAGGUUCAAGCCAUCCUACCCUAUAAAGGUCUGAGUCAUUGCAGAGCGGUCACCGGUGUCAUCUGAGGCUCGGAGAGGUAGCUCAUUCAGGGCCACACCAGCAGCUCCUUUUCCGGAAGCGUGAAGACGAAUGUAAAGCGAAGGAGAGUAAGGUGUGUGAAAGGCUGUGCCAAUGGCGACUGUCAGCCACGCUGUCUGCCCUCUUGCUUGUCCCUUCAAGGGCAGAGCUGUGGCUCACCCAGAGAUGCCAUCUCCCAUUCCCCCAAGCCCAGGUGGGUCCAGGUGAAAUAGUUCUUCCAGAUGGACGUGGCUCGUGUCUCUUCUGGGUGUUCUCCAGGCCCGGGGGGUGGCAGAUGAAGGGCAGAGGGAGACAGUUCCCGAGCCCCACAGGCCGGCAUGUUGCCUGCAAGUCAGGACACCUGAACUGUCCUGAGAUGGAAGCUCCGGCUUUCAGUCACUGAAAUUCGAGGGUUCUUUGUCCAGCAGUUAGAAGUGCCCUGAUUCAGGAGUUACAUCUGCUUCAUGGAAUCAGGCUUGAAGCCCAAAGAAGGAUGAAAUGAAGAGGGCCCAUGGGGAUCUCACACAUUUAGAUGUGUGAUGGGGAAAAUGCAUUUUGGAUGGUCCAUGAUUGUCCAGGUUUCAAAUAUUCUAGUCUACCGGAGACCUCACGUUCUUUUUCUUUUUUUUAUUUAACGUGGAGCAACCUGGCAGAAGGUCACCUGGCAGAAGGUCACCUGGCAGAACGUCAUGUGUAUUUAAGUCCCCAGACUUCGGAAGGUGCCUUUGAGGACAUGGAGUUCUCUUCCAGUUCUCUCCCUUCUGCAAAAAGAUCGUGAGACAGCGCGGGGUGGAGUGCUGUGGAGACUACGAGCUGCCUUUGUCCCUGGGAUGUUGGAAGAAUGAGUAUUGGCUUUAAGGAUGAGAGAUCCUUUUGAGUAAAGAACAUUCUGUGAACACAGCGGGCGGCCCACAAGGGUUGGGGUUUGAAUGAAGGGGGUGGCUGAGGAUCUUCCAGGCACCUGUGUUUUGGGAUUAGCCGUACUUGGAAGCCCGGUGGAAGCUGCUUUUCUAUUUAUGAGUCAAAUUCUCUUUCACUCUGAAUGUAAUUAUAAUUGCCAAGCAGCUGUAUCUUAAUUUAGGGUCUUCAAUUGGUAAUGUUUCCUAAGGCUUUAAUUUUAGUUUUCUUUGUUCCUUGGCCUUUCAAAUAUCUAAUAAUAUCUAAAUAAAUUAUUGAAAGUAGAAGAGUUCUCUAUAUGUUGUAAAAGGAAAAAUUACUUGGAAAUAUAUACAGUUACCUCCAAUUGAUGCUUUGUAAUUCAGGUUUUCUGUAAAUUGUUUUUAAGUGUGAGAUACUUUCCACAUAUGCCUGAAAAGCAAGAUCUUUUCUUCCUUCAAAAUUAUACCUCAGAGAAAGGGUCACAUUCUAUCCAGACCUUGCGAAGUGUUUCAAGUUGUGCGGCAUGUUCUGAGAUGAGUUUUGAACAUAAAAAUACUAUUUGGAAUGAUUGAUAAAUUGAGUGAAAUGAUCAAUAUGAUCUGGGUGUUUAUUCUCAAAGUGGGGCCCAGACCCGCAGCCUCAGCUCCUGGGAAUCUGAGAGAAAAGCAGAGCUUCAGGCUUUGCCCCAGGCCUGCAGAGGGCAGUCUGGGUAGGGGGUGGGGUAAGCCCUGUAAUCUGUGUUUUCCAAGCCCUCCAGGUGAUUCUGAGGCCCAUUCAGGUUGAAGAACCAGGGUCACAGAAGUUACCGAUCACAUUUUUUAAAUAUGCAAAGUUAUUUAACACAGCAUUAUUGAUCAUUCCUGAGGUGUCACCUCCCAACUCCAAGCAUGGGCAUCGCUGUGAGUGAGCUUUCAGAAGCCACUUGAGGAACACAGAUGCCUGGAGGAAUCCCAGCUGUCCUGAUGUUACAUGAAUGAGUUACUUGCAGCUCAAGCCCCCUGCAGGAAGGGUGCCCCGCAGCAGCCGGGAACCACCCGAGAGGCCUCCACAUGCACCUGGACAGGCGCGCGGGCUGGGUGCUCACACCUGGGCCCCAGAGGUGCUGGUCAGCACCCCCUUUACAAUGAAGGCUCGCAAAGUACACAACUCCAAGUGCCGGUCCAUGAAAGCAGGUCACACAGACUUUUAAUACAGAUCCGCACGGUGAAUGACAACAAUUUCUAAAGGGGCUGGGGUGAAAAGAGUUGGGGAAGUGCUGAGCUGCCAUGGAACAGGCACUGUGCUAGCCUGAUGGUCUGGAGGACAAACACUGGUUCCUUUAACAAAGAGCUCCCGUGUAGCAAGAAAAGCCCCGCUGACGAUGGAAUGACGAUGGAAUGCGAUGGAAUGCGUGCUGCUGUGGCACCGGACUGGGGAGACGGAGGAGGGAGGGAGGGAGGGAGGAAUCGCCGGGCUUCUUGGGAAGUCAGCCCUGGGCCGACGCAGCCGGUGGGACAGGGACCUGGGAAGGAAGGAGUGAGGACACAGGCAGAGGGACAAUGCAGGGGGCAAGACCCACAAGGGCAAGUCACUGGAGCCCAGCCCCACCCACCUCCCUCCACAGCCUCUGUCCUCUGGGAACGCUCUCCCAGGUCACUCCCCACAGGCCACCCUCCUUCCCUCUUGUUCCUUCCUUUCCUGUGUGAAUCUUAUGGUCUGGCCAAACUUGUUGACUCAGUUCAGUGAAAUCACUGUUAGAUAUUUCUGUUUCCUUGACUGCACAUGAAUGGCCAGUGGGAUCCAUGUGUCCAGGUACCUGGGCUGGAGGUGACCUCUCUCCUCUGAGCUCUCACAGGGCACUGCUGCUCCUUUCAUUCCACACACGUCAGCUGCCCAGUGUUAGCUUUUUCCUGUGUGCAUUGCUUAUCUCCUUGAAUGAGCGCCUUAGAUUCAGGGAAGCACCAAUUCAUCUUUGUAAGGCCCUUAGCAUUCAAGAAAUUUUGACUUUAGGUUUGCAACAGAUGAGAAAUGAGAGCAAAUAUAUGCCUCAAAUGUACAUAUUCCAAAGGAGUGCAGCAGAAAUCCUUUUUGGGGGAACUGAGAAAAAACACUGCCUACCUAAAAUGAUUUUCAAGUUACUUCCAGUGUCAAAAUUCAGCAAAACAUCAACUUUAGCUUAUAAUCAUAACAUUGACAUUAGCUUAUUAAUAAAUAUACUGAAAGUCCUUUCAUAGGCAUUUAUGACAAAUUUAAAAAGUGAACUGGGAUGAAUAUUCUCAUAGCUUUGAGUAUUCAAAAGUUAGCAAGGGUGGUACUUGUAAAAGUCAACAUUUAUUAACUGCUGUAGUUAAUUCAAAGUAAUAUUCUGUGGUUAGCUACUGUUAAAUAUUUUUAAUUGUCAAAUUUCUUCUGUGUGCAACGUUCUUUAUUCCUUUAUUUACUCCCUCACUUUUCAUGUGGGUUAGAUGACCUUGGUGACUGAAAGGGCAAGAACUGUCAAAAACAAAUGACAACUGAUUUCUAGGUUUUAAACAAAUGGUUGAUAUUAUGAAUUCUACAGAAACAGACAAAAUACCUGAACAUUUUCAAUUUUACAAAGAAUGAAUGUCUUAAUGUAUUUUUCCUUUUAAGCCUCACAUUUCAGAUACUUGAUAAACUAAGAGUUUGAGUUACUGAUAUGUAAAACAACUACUGGUCAUUUACAAGUAACAAGCUGGCUAAACAUUUUUUAAAAAUAUACUAACAAAAGCACCCAGGUGAACUCUGUCUACCCAGGAGGGCUUUUUAAGUGAUCCAUCUUGAUGUCAGCAAAUUGCUUACUAAUGUGUUGACUUAUGGCUGCCCUCAAAAGCAAAAUGAAAAGCCUGGAAUUUACAGCAUAUCAAUGAAUCAGUUGAUAAGCUUUUACUGGUUUAAUAUCCUUCCAGUCCUGCUGCUUGGAGCCACUUCAAGUUAGCAACAGAAUGUUUGCCAUCUCUAUGUGAUAAAGGAAGUCAAAGGACUAA
This is a long non-coding RNA of Cercocebus atys (sooty mangabey), 4974 nucleotides long. RefSeq lists it as uncharacterized. The transcript is spliced from 4 exons. The record is from RefSeq and is a predicted model, not a curated record. Lineage: Eukaryota; Metazoa; Chordata; Mammalia; Primates; Cercopithecidae.